Molecule: ribosomal RNA, 537 nt
Filed under: Callionymus bairdi (lancer dragonet)
Lineage: Eukaryota; Metazoa; Chordata; Actinopteri; Syngnathiformes; Callionymidae
Description: partial 16S large subunit ribosomal RNA
Rfam family: Bacterial large subunit ribosomal RNA
Source: RNAcentral
UAAGAGGUCCCGCCUGCCCAGUGACUUCGUGUUCAACGGCCGCGGUAUUUUAACCGUGCAAAGGUAGCGUAAUAACUUGUCUUUUAAAUGAAGACUUGUAUGAAUGGCAUCACGAGGGCCUGACUGUCUCCUACCCUCAGUCAAUUAAAUUGAUCCCCCCGUGCAGAAGCUGGGAUAAACACAUAAGACGAGAAGACCCUAUGGAGCUUUAGACAAAUUAGGUUUAAAUUACUACUCUUAAUUAAAACUUGUAAAUUGAUUAAGCCCCUUAAAAUGUCUUUGGUUGGGGCGACCUUGGGAAAACUCAACAACUCCCAUGUCGAAAAAGAACUAAUCUUUUAAAGCUCAGACAAACAAGCCUAGGCCACAGAACUUCUGACAUUAUGAUCCGGCCCGCCGAUUAACGAAAUGAGUUACCCUAGGGAUAACAGCGCAAUCCCCUUUUAGAGCCCAUAUCGACAAGGGGGUUUACGACCUCGAUGUUGGAUCAGGACAUCCUAAUGGUGCAGCCGCUAUUAAGGGUUCGUUUGUUCAACG